GUCCUUUUGUGGUUCAUAGGCAUAAUGAUUGGGUUUUCGUGCUCAUGUGUGAGAUGUGCCUCCCUGAAACCUAUUACAACAUCAGCAUAUUACCUAUCUGAUA
Lemur catta (Ring-tailed lemur) is the source of this 103-nucleotide small nucleolar RNA. RefSeq annotates it as small nucleolar RNA U13. The transcript has a single exon. Lineage: Eukaryota; Metazoa; Chordata; Mammalia; Primates; Lemuridae. The record is from RefSeq and is a predicted model, not a curated record.